This 1327-nucleotide ribosomal RNA is filed under the name Lactobacillus sp. RNAcentral describes it as "bacterial SSU rRNA". It matches the Rfam family "Bacterial small subunit ribosomal RNA", at positions 91 to 1405 of the family's 1533-position model. Lineage: Bacteria; Bacillati; Bacillota; Bacilli; Lactobacillales; Lactobacillaceae. The record is from RNAcentral.
GUGAGUGGCGAACUGGUGAGUAACACGUGGGAAACCUGCCCAGAAGCGGGGGAUAACACCUGGAAACAGAUGCUAAUACCGCAUAACAACUUGGACCGCAUGGUCCGAGUUUGAAAGAUGGCUUCGGCUAUCACUUUUGGAUGGUCCCGCGGCGUAUUAGCUAGAUGGUGGGGUAACGGCUCACCAUGGCAAUGAUACGUAGCCGACCUGAGAGGGUAAUCGGCCACAUUGGGACUGAGACACGGCCCAAACUCCUACGGGAGGCAGCAGUAGGGAAUCUUCCACAAUGGACGAAAGUCUGAUGGAGCAACGCCGCGUGAGUGAAGAAGGAUUUCGGCUCGUAAAACUCUGUUGUUAAAGAAGAACAUAUCUGAGAGUAACUGUUCAGGUAUUGACGGUAUUUAACCAGAAAGCCACGGCUAACUACGUGCCAGCAGCCGCGGUAAUACGUAGGUGGCAAGCGUUGUCCGGAUUUAUUGGGCGUAAGCCGAGCGCAGGCGGUUUUUUAAGUCUGAUGUGAAAGCCUUCGGCUCAACCGAAGAAGUGCAUCGGAAACUGGGAAACUUGAGUGCAGAAGAGGACAGUGGAACUCCAUGUGUAGCGGUGAAAUGCGUAGAUAUAUGGAAGAACACCAGUGGCGAAGGCGGCUGUCUGGUCUGUAACUGACGCUGAGGCUCGAAAGUAUGGGUAGCAAACAGGAUUAGAUACCCUGGUAGUCCAUACCGUAAACGAUGAAUGCUAAGUGUUGGAGGGUUUCCGCCCUUCAGUGCUGCAGCUAACGCAUUAAGCAUUCCGCCUGGGGAGUACGGCCGCAAGGCUGAAACUCAAAGGAAUUGACGGGGGCCCGCACAAGCGGUGGAGCAUGUGGUUUAAUUCGAAGCUACGCGAAGAACCUUACCAGGUCUUGACAUACUAUGCAAAUCUAAGAGAUUAGACGUUCCCUUCGGGGACAUGGAUACAGGUGGUGCAUGGUUGUCGUCAGCUCGUGUCGUGAGAUGUUGGGUUAAGUCCCGCAACGAGCGCAACCCUUAUUAUCAGUUGCCAGCAUUAAGUUGGGCACUCUGGUGAGACUGCCGGUGACAAACCGGAGGAAGGUGGGGAUGACGUCAAAUCAUCAUGCCCCUUAUGACCUGGGCUACACACGUGCUACAAUGGAUGGUACAACGAGUUGCGAACUCGCGAGAGUAAGCUAAUCUCUUAAAGCCAUUCUCAGUUCGGAUUGUAGGCUGCAACUCGCCUACAUGAAGUCGGAAUCGCUAGUAAUCGCGGAUCAGCAUGCCGCGGUGAAUACGUUCCCGGGCCUUGUACACACCGCCCGUCACACCAU